AACGAACGCUGGCGGCGUGCUUAACACAUGCAAGUCGAACGAGAAAUCGGGCACUCAGGCAACUGAGUGCCGGAGAGUAAAGUGGCGCACGGGUGAGUAACACGUGGGUAACCUACCCCCGAAUCCGGGAUAACCUCGCGAAAGCGUUGCUAAUACCGGAUAUUGUCCUUUUGGUUGUGACCUUUGGGAUGAAAGGCAACCUCUUCAUGAAAGUUGUCGUUCAGGGAUGGGCCCGCGUACCAUUAGCUUGUUGGUGGGGUAACGGCUCACCAAGGCUACGAUGGUUAGCUGGUCUGAGAGGAUGAUCAGCCACACUGGAACUGAAACACGGUCCAGACUCCUACGGGAGGCAGCAGUGAGGAAUUUUGCGCAAUGGGGGAAACCCUGACGCAGCAACGCCGCGUGAGUGAAGAAGGCUUUCGGGUCGUAAAGCUCUGUCAAGUGGGAAAAAAGUCUGAUGAUUAAUAGUUGUCAGAUCUGAUGGUAC
RNAcentral lists this ribosomal RNA (487 nucleotides) under uncultured Desulfobacteraceae bacterium. RNAcentral describes it as "bacterial SSU rRNA". It matches the Rfam family "Bacterial small subunit ribosomal RNA", at positions 29 to 478 of the family's 1533-position model. Lineage: Bacteria; Pseudomonadati; Thermodesulfobacteriota; Desulfobacteria; Desulfobacterales; Desulfobacteraceae. The record is from RNAcentral.